AGAGUUUGAUCCUGGCUCAGGACGAACGCUGGCGGCGUGCUUAACACAUGCAAGUCGAACGAGUGCCUUCGGGUGCUAGUGGCGAACGGGUGAGUAACACGUGAGCAACCUGCCCUUGGCUCUGGGAUAGCCUCCGGAAACGGGGAUUAAUACCGGACAUGACCCGGGUCCGCAUGGACUUGGGUGGAAAGUUUUUCGGC
Molecule: ribosomal RNA, 200 nt
Filed under: uncultured bacterium
Lineage: Bacteria
Description: partial 16S ribosomal RNA
Rfam family: Bacterial small subunit ribosomal RNA
Source: RNAcentral